AGCGAACGCUGGCGGCGGGCUUAACACAUGCAAGUCGAACGUGAAAGUGUAGCAAUACAUGAGUAAAGUGGCGUACGGGUGAGUAACGCGUAGGUAAUCUACCUCUUAGUUCGGAAUAACCUGCCGAAAGGCGGGCUAAUACUGGAUGAGAUACACGGGACAUAGAGUUCUGUGUAAGAAAGGGAGCUCGCAAGAGCCCUCGCUAGGAGAUGAGCCUGCGUCCCAUCAGCUAGUUGGUAAGGUAACGGCUUACCAAGGCAAUGACGGGUAGCUGGUCUGAGAGGACGAUCAGCCACACUGGAACUGAAACACGGUCCAGACUCCUACGGGAGGCAGCAGUGGGGAAUCUUGCGCAAUGGACGAAAGUCUGACGCAGCCACGCCGUGUGAGUGAAGAAGGCCUUCGGGUUGUAAAGCUCUGUUGAGCGGGACGAAGGGUGUGGGGUGAAUAGCCUAGCACUUUGACGGUACCGCUAUAGAAAGCACCGGCUAACCUCGUGCCAGCAGCCGCCGUAA
RNAcentral lists this ribosomal RNA (515 nucleotides) under uncultured bacterium. RNAcentral's name for it is "partial 16S ribosomal RNA". It matches the Rfam family "Bacterial small subunit ribosomal RNA", at positions 29 to 523 of the family's 1533-position model. The record is from RNAcentral.